This 75-nucleotide transfer RNA is filed under the name Nanoarchaeales archaeon. RNAcentral describes it as "tRNA-Ile". It matches the Rfam family "tRNA". From Rfam's summary of the family: Transfer RNA (tRNA) molecules are approximately 80 nucleotides in length. Lineage: Archaea; Nanobdellati; Nanobdellota; Candidatus Nanoarchaeia; Nanoarchaeales. The record is from RNAcentral.
GACCUGGUAGUUCAGCCCGGUUAGAAUGUUCGACUGAUAAUCGAAUGGUCCCCAGUUCAAAUCUGGGCCAGGUCA